This 433-nucleotide ribosomal RNA is filed under the name uncultured bacterium. RNAcentral's name for it is "partial 16S ribosomal RNA". It matches the Rfam family "Bacterial small subunit ribosomal RNA", at positions 29 to 507 of the family's 1533-position model. The record is from RNAcentral.
AACGAACGCUGGCGGCAUGCCUAACACAUGCAAGUCGAACGAGACCUUCGGGUCUAGUGGCGCACGGGGGCGUAACGCGUGGGAACCUUCCCUUAGGUUCGGAAUAACUCCCCGAAAGGGGUGCUAAUACCGGAUAAUGUCUUCGGACCAAAGAUUUAUCGCCUUUGGAUGGGCCCGCGUUGGUUUAGCUAGUUGGUAGGGUAAAAGCCUACCAAGGCGACGAUCCAUAGCUGGUCUGAGAGGAUGAUCAGCCACACUGGGACUGAGACACGGCCCAGACUCCUACGGGAGGGAGCAGUGGGGAAUACUGGACUAUGGGCGAAAGCGUGAUCCAGCAACGGCGCGUGAGUGAUGAAGGUCUUAGGGUUGUAAAGCUCUUUUACCCGAGAUGAUAAUGACGGUACCGGGAGAAUAAGCUCCGGCUAACUCCGUG